RNAcentral lists this ribosomal RNA (480 nucleotides) under uncultured bacterium. RNAcentral's name for it is "partial 16S ribosomal RNA". It matches the Rfam family "Bacterial small subunit ribosomal RNA", at positions 28 to 506 of the family's 1533-position model. The record is from RNAcentral.
GAUGAACGCUGGCGGCGUGCUUAACACAUGCAAGUCGAACGAAGCACUUUAUUUGAUUUCCUUCGGGACUGAUUAUUUUGUGACUGAGUGGCGGACGGGUGAGUAACGCGUGGGUAACCUGCCUUGUACAGGGGGAUAACAGUUGGAAACGGCUGCUAAUACCGCAUAAGCGCACAGCAUCGCAUGAUGCAGUGUGAAAAACUCCGGUGGUAUAAGAUGGACCCGCGUUGGAUUAGCUAGUUGGUGAGGUAACGGCCCACCAAGGCGACGAUCCAUAGCCGACCUGAGAGGGUGGCCGGCCACAUUGGGACUGAGACACGGCCCAAACUCCUACGGGAGGCAGCAGUGGGGAAUAUUGCACAAUGGGCGAAAGCCUGAUGCAGCGACGCCGCGUGAGCGAAGAAGUAUUUCGGUAUGUAAAGCUCUAUCAGCAGGGAAGAUAAUGACGGUACCUGACUAAGAAGCACCGGCUAAAUACGU